RNAcentral lists this ribosomal RNA (413 nucleotides) under uncultured bacterium. RNAcentral describes it as "bacterial SSU rRNA". It matches the Rfam family "Bacterial small subunit ribosomal RNA", at positions 29 to 450 of the family's 1533-position model. The record is from RNAcentral.
AACGAACGCUGGCGGCAUGGAUUAGGCAUGCAAGUUGAACGAACCACUUCGGUGGAGAGUAGCGGAAGGGUGAGGAACGCGUGAGUAAUCUGCCCCUCAGUUGGGAAUAACAGUUGGAAACGGCUGCUAAUACCGAAUGUGGCUUAAGUUCCGCAUGGGACUUCGGCUAAAGAUUUAUCGCUGAGGGAUGAGCUCGCGUCCCAUUAGGUAGUUGGUGAGGUAACGGCUCACCAAGCCGACGAUGGGUAGCUGGUCUGAGAGGAUGGUCAGCCACACUGGGACUGAGACACUGCCCAGACUCCUACGGGAGGCUGCAGUCGAGAAUCUUGGGCAAUGCGCGAAAGCGUGACCCAGCAAUGCCGCGUGUAUGAUGAAGGCCCUCGGGUCGUAAAAUACUGUCUCCCGUGACGAAA